CCUACGGGUGGCAGCAGUGAGGAAUAUUGGUCAAUGGGCGCGAGCCUGAACCAGCAAAGCCGCGUGAAGGAAGACGGUCCUAUGGAUUUUAAACCUUUUUUGUCGGGGAGCAAAAGACGCCACGCGUGGCGUUCCGAGAGUACCCGAACAAAAAGCAUCGGCAAACUCCGUGCCAGAAGCCGCGGUAAUACGGAGGAUGCGAGCGUUGUCCGGAUUGAUGGGGGUGAAAGGGUGUGUAGUCGGAUGCUUAAGUCAGUGGUAAAAUUGCGGGGCUCAACCUCGUAGUGCCGUUGAAACUGGGUGCCUAGAGUGGGCGAGAGGUACGCGGAAUGCGUGGUGUAGCGGUGAAAUGCAUAGAUAUCACGCAGAACUCCGAUUGCGAAGGCAGCGUACCGGCGCCCAACUGACGCUGAAGCACGAAGGCGUGGGGAGCGAACAGGAUUAGAUACCCUGGUAGUC
This 459-nucleotide ribosomal RNA is filed under the name uncultured bacterium. Its description in RNAcentral is "partial 16S ribosomal RNA". It matches the Rfam family "Bacterial small subunit ribosomal RNA", at positions 338 to 795 of the family's 1533-position model. The record is from RNAcentral.